UGACCCCAGGUCAGGCGGGAGCACCC
This 26-nucleotide ribosomal RNA is filed under the name Lophogyne lacunosa. Its description in RNAcentral is "partial 26S ribosomal RNA". The record is from RNAcentral. Lineage: Eukaryota; Viridiplantae; Streptophyta; Magnoliopsida; Malpighiales; Podostemaceae.